UUUCCGUAGGUGAACCUGCGGAAGGAUCAUUAUUGUAUAACCGGUGUGCGAGGGCUGUCGCUGACCCGAAAGGUCGUGCACGCCCGAGUGCCCUCACACACAUCCAUCUCACCCCUAUGUGCACCACCGCGUGGGUCCCCCUUUGGCUUGUUCGGAGGGGGGCUUACGUUUUCACACAAACUUUGUAUGCAGUGUAGAAUGUAUUUUUUGUUUUUGCGAUCACGCAAUCAAUACAACUUUCAACAACGGAUCUCUUGGCUCUC
RNAcentral lists this unclassified non-coding RNA (263 nucleotides) under plant metagenome. Its description in RNAcentral is "partial contains small subunit ribosomal RNA, internal transcribed spacer 1, and 5.8S ribosomal RNA". The record is from RNAcentral.